This 467-nucleotide ribosomal RNA is filed under the name uncultured bacterium. Its description in RNAcentral is "partial 16S ribosomal RNA". It matches the Rfam family "Bacterial small subunit ribosomal RNA", at positions 28 to 507 of the family's 1533-position model. The record is from RNAcentral.
GACGAACGCUGGCGGCGUGCUUAACACAUGCAAGUCGAACGGAAAGGCCCUGCUUUUGUGGGGUGCUCGAGUGGCGAACGGGUGAGUAACACGUGAGUAACCUGCCCUUGACUUUGGGAUAACUUCAGGAAACUGGGGCUAAUACCGGAUAGGAGCUCCUGCUGCAUGGUGGGGGUUGGAAAGUUUCGGCGGUUGGGGAUGGACUCGCGGCUUAUCAGCUUGUUGGUGAGGUAGUGGCUACCAAGGCUUUGACGGGGAGCCGGCCUGAGAGGGUGACCGGCCACAUUGGGACUGAGAUACGGCCCAGACUCCUACGGGAGGCAGCAGUGGGGAAUAUUGCACAAUGGGCGGAAGCCUGAUGCAGCAACGCCGCGUGCGGGAUGACGGCCUUCGGGUUGUAAACCGCUUUCGCCUGUGACGAAGCGUGAGUGACGGUAAUGGGUAAAGAAGCACCGGCUAACUACGUG